UACGUAGGGUGCAAGCGUUAAUCGGAAUUACUGGGCGUAAAGCGUGCGCAGGCGGUUUUGUAAGUUUGUCGUGAAAGCCCCGGGCUCAACCUGGGAAUGGCGAUGAAGACUGCAAGGCUUGAAUCUGGCAGAGGGGGGUAGAAUUCCAUGUGUAGCAGUGAAAUGCGUAGAGAUGUGGAGGAACACCGAUGGCGAAGGCAGCCCCCUGGGUCAAGAUUGACGCUCAUGCACGAAAGCGUGGGGAGCAAACAGG
This 253-nucleotide ribosomal RNA is filed under the name uncultured bacterium. RNAcentral's name for it is "partial 16S ribosomal RNA". It matches the Rfam family "Bacterial small subunit ribosomal RNA", at positions 524 to 776 of the family's 1533-position model. The record is from RNAcentral.